GUGGGGAAACUCAGUGGCAGAGCAUCUGCUUUGCAUGCAGAAGGUCUAAGGUUCAAUCCCCAGCAACCCCAGCCA
This is a non-coding RNA of Podarcis lilfordi (Lilford's wall lizard), 75 nucleotides long. The record is from the annotation of a GenBank genome assembly. Lineage: Eukaryota; Metazoa; Chordata; Lepidosauria; Squamata; Lacertidae.